UGGCAGUGAAAAUAAUUCUCCAUUCCUAAAUGCACGUGGAUCAUAAAAAAAAAAUAUCAAACGUGGAUUAAACUAUACACAUAUUUUUUUCUAUUGGAUGUUAUGGAACUAAUUAUCAUAAUUAAUUUUUGGUGGGCCUCCUGUCUUUUUACUUUUUCUUUUUAUUAUUUUUUAUUUUCUUUCUUUAGUUUCUUCUUUCCCGCCUUCUCACUACUCACCAAAUGGCUCCAUCAUUACCUGACUUCCGCUAACUUUACCUGUUCUAUGAAAAUAAGGUCUUCAUCCCAUUUAAAAAUUUUAGCGAGGCUUUGUUGGAAGAGAAAAGAUAUAUGAGAGAUGAGGUUACUGUGUUAAGAACCUUAAAAACCUCUCCGACCGGAAAUAUUUGCCAAUGAAGUCCUCCAUCUUCUUUUUAGUUUUAAUGUUUAGGUUUUGGCAAGGGUUUUUUUAGGUAAAAAGAUUGGACUAAUUGACGAAGAAAUUGGAGAUAAGAAAAGGUUGCCGGAAAACUUUUUUUGGCCAAAAGCUUACCGGUGCUUCUUUGUUUGCAAUCGAACUUUACAAUUUUAUCCAAUUAUUUAUGUAGAUCUGUAUCUCUCUUUUUCAGAGAAAGACCUUUUCUUUUAGGAGAAGGUAAAGCAUGUGGGUGAGUUUGUUUUGGGGGAGGGGUGUAAAGAAGAUAAGUAAGGAACUUUUGUGGAAAAAAAAUUAAAAAUUUUAUGACGUGGAAGGUAUGUGACGCGAGUGUAUUUCACUGCUCAAUUCAGGAGAGAUUUUGGGUCCGGCAAGGAGGUAUUAAAUUUACCUCGGACAAGUAUAAGGAGGUAAUGGACACCCGUAAAGUUUAAGUGUGAAACUGAUUUUUUCGCGCAAGUACAGGGUGCAUCUUAUGUAUUAUCUCAUUUACAAAAGCUUACAUACAUUCAUGAUUCAUGGUUGUAGCAGUAUACUACCCUAGUGGCUUGUCUAUGAUAAUCAGUUUAAAACUUGUGCAUUAUUAUCUCUUAUGUUAUGCCUUUGGUUUACCAAUAUUAUCUGUUUUACAUACUCAGUACAUCUUUCGUACUGACGCCCUUUUUCUUGGGGCACGUUGUUCAUGCCUACAGGUACAAAUAGACCUGGUAACGUCCCUCCCCAGUAGGGUGUUUAUUCCAACUAUUGGUCACUGCACUCCACUUCUUCGGAGUAGCUGUCCAGAAGUCAAUAGGUACUGGAGUACAUAUUUCGGUUGUUUU
RNAcentral lists this long non-coding RNA (1235 nucleotides) under Nicotiana tabacum (common tobacco). RNAcentral describes it as "long non-coding RNA (NTAB_LNC015160)". The record is from RNAcentral. Lineage: Eukaryota; Viridiplantae; Streptophyta; Magnoliopsida; Solanales; Solanaceae.